GACAGCAGCCGCCGCGGUAAUACGGAGGGUGCAAGCGUUAAUCGGAAUUACUGGGCGUAAAGCGCACGCAGGCGGUCUGACAAGUCAGAUGUGAAAUCCCCGGGCUUAACCUGGGAACUGCAUUUGAAACUGUCAGGCUGGAGUCUUGUAGAGGGGGGUAGAAUUCCAGGUGUAGCGGUGAAAUGCGUAGAGAUCUGGAGGAAUACCGGUGGCGAAGGCGGCCCCCUGGACAAAGACUGACGCUCAGGUGCGAAAGCGUGGGGAGCAAACAGGAUUAGAUACCCCAGUAGUCCCUGUCUCUUAUAC
RNAcentral lists this ribosomal RNA (306 nucleotides) under uncultured bacterium. RNAcentral's name for it is "partial 16S ribosomal RNA". It matches the Rfam family "Bacterial small subunit ribosomal RNA", at positions 507 to 807 of the family's 1533-position model. The record is from RNAcentral.